GGGGGCGUAAAGGUUUCGACGGGGAUUCUGAAGUCCGAUAAGCGAGCAGAGCCGGUAUAAUCUCUUUAAACUGUACCGUACGUUUAAAUAUAAACGCUAGAAAAAAUAUUUCUGUAAGAACUAACUUACAGGUAGCAGCCUAAGUCUGCUUCCGUCUGCUGACAGAGUACCGCGACUGUCUGUCAGGCGUCGAUUAGCGGUGAACGUCUUGCCGGAGUGUCCGUGCCGGUAAGUUGUAUACGGACUACUUGCUUUUACAGCCUGUCUGUCGGCGGUAAUUACAGGGAACUUUAAUAGACUGAAUACGCUCGUAGAAAGUUGUAUGAAUGAGUUUUCGGACAGGAGUUCAAUUCUCCUCGCCUCCACCA
Molecule: transfer-messenger RNA, 368 nt
Filed under: uncultured Ruminococcus sp.
Lineage: Bacteria; Bacillati; Bacillota; Clostridia; Eubacteriales; Oscillospiraceae
Rfam family: transfer-messenger RNA
About the family: Bacterial tmRNA, also known as 10Sa RNA or SsrA, is named for its dual tRNA and mRNA-like properties. Its role is to liberate the mRNA from a stalled ribosome.
Source: RNAcentral